Molecule: ribosomal RNA, 269 nt
Filed under: Betaproteobacteria bacterium
Lineage: Bacteria; Pseudomonadati; Pseudomonadota; Betaproteobacteria
Description: partial 23S ribosomal RNA
Rfam family: Bacterial large subunit ribosomal RNA
Source: RNAcentral
UUUGAGGGGACCUGCUCCUAGUACGAGAGGACCGGAGUGGACGCACCUCUGGUGUACCGGUUAUGACGCCAGUCGUAUCGCCGGGUAGCUAAGUGCGGAAGAGAUAACCGCUGAAAGCAUCUAAGCGGGAAACUCGCCUCGAGAUGAGACUUCCCGGGGGUUAAACCCCCCUAAAGGUUCGUCGUAGACCACGACGUUGAUAGGUCGGGUGUGGAAGCGCAGUAAUGCGUUAAGCUAACCGAUACUAAUUGACCGUGCGGCUUGAUCCU